UCAGCGUGCUAAUGGUGGAAAAGUUUCUUCUCAGUGUAAUCUGAGCAUUGUGUACAGAUUGGAUUCACUGGGCCCAGCUGGUGCAACGACCCACCGCUAUUGCAAUGUGGUGAAAUUAUUUUUGGUAAAAAAAGGACGUAUCCUUACUUUUUUCACCAAGACUUUCUAUAUUCCUUGCAUCUAAGAGAAGAGCCAGCAGUGAAGGUGACAGAUUUUCCGGACCGGCCGGUGUCCGCUGCCUGGAUCGGUUUGCUCGCAGGCGCGGUAACAUGGACAAGAGACAAGGAGGAGGAAACAUGACAACAUCGUACGUGUGCUGGAGUCCACUGCUGUAUGAAAUGAAAGUGUGAAUGCAACCAUUUCUUUAACAUGUACACAGCGAUGUCAUCACUUCUUAGUCUUCGCUGGUGGUGAGGGUCUGUAUUGGAAGGAACAGAUCUUGAUCCAUGUCCUGUGAGACCUGUGAGAGUUGAUGAUCCUCAUCCAGGUUAAACAGUUCGCACACAGUUCACCGUCUGCCACCGGAGAUCCGGGUGGAUUGAAAGAUCACAUUCCUCUGCCAGGACAUGGGAGAGGAUGGAAACCAUCGUGUUUAGCCUUUGUUUGACAAUGAAAACACACUUUAAAUAUACUGGCAUUUACUCAGUACUCAGUACUGCUUGCUACUUCACAAUUCACAGAGGGGAUGGAAGAGAAGGGUUGAGACAGGAAGAGGUUCAAAACAAAUCUGAGGCAUCUGGCGACUUUCCCACAAACUAGUCUAAGUAGUGGGGAAAAUUAACUUAUCUGAGAACAUAUACACUAAAUAAUUUUUCCUCUCAGCAGGAAUGGGUUAAUUAUGACUGAGGUGUGAGAAUUAAAAGAAAGCAUCCCAGACCUA
Long non-coding RNA from Scophthalmus maximus (turbot), 880 nucleotides. RefSeq lists it as uncharacterized. The record is from RefSeq and is a predicted model, not a curated record. The transcript has 3 exons. Lineage: Eukaryota; Metazoa; Chordata; Actinopteri; Pleuronectiformes; Scophthalmidae.